AUGGACACCUUGCGUAGCCUGGAGACGCUCGAGAUCGUGUGCUGUGGUGAUCUGAAGGAGAUCUUCCCAUUGGACCCUAAACGCCAAGAGAAGCAGGAGAUUAUAAACUUCCCCAGGCUAAGGAUGAUCCACCUGUAUGAGCUGCCCAUGUUGCAGCGCAUCUGUGGGAGAAAGAUGUCUGCGCCCAACCUGGAGACCGUCAAGAUCAGGGGCUGCUGGAGCCUCACGCAGCUGCCAGCUGUCAGGUGCAACUCCGCCAUGCGGCCCAAGGUGGACUGCGAGAAGGACUGGUGGGACAACCUGGAGUGGGUGCACUGGCGGGACUGCCAUUGGAGCAGGGUGGAGACGAAGCACGAUCCUUCGCUCUAUGAGCCAAGCCACUCGCGCUACUACAAGAAGGCCAACCUGCCAAGAGGCACAGUGCUCGGGUAA
RNAcentral lists this ribosomal RNA (432 nucleotides) under Triticum aestivum (bread wheat). RNAcentral describes it as "partial small subunit ribosomal RNA". The record is from RNAcentral. Lineage: Eukaryota; Viridiplantae; Streptophyta; Magnoliopsida; Poales; Poaceae.